RNAcentral lists this ribosomal RNA (442 nucleotides) under uncultured bacterium. RNAcentral describes it as "partial 16S ribosomal RNA". It matches the Rfam family "Bacterial small subunit ribosomal RNA", at positions 338 to 795 of the family's 1533-position model. The record is from RNAcentral.
CCUACGGGCUGCAGCAGUGGGGAAUAUUGGGCAAUGGGCGCAAGCCUGACCCAGCAAUGCCGCGUGAAGGAAGAAGGCUUUCGGGUUGUAAACUUCUUUGACAGGGGAAGAGCAGAAGACGGUACCCUGAAAACAAGCCACGGCUAACUACGUGCCAGCAGCCGCGGUAAUACGUAGGUGGCAAGCGUUGUCCGGAUUUACUGGGUGUAAAGGGCGUGUAGCCGGGAAGGCAAGUCAGAUGUGAAAUCUGGAGGCUCAACCUCCAAAUUGCAUUUGAAACUUUUUUUCUUGAGUACUGGAGAGGCAGACGGAAUUCCUUGUGUAGCGGUGAAAUGCGUAGAUAUAAGGAGGAACACCAGUGGCGAAGGCGGUCUGCUGGACAGCACCUGACGGUGCGGCGCGAAAGCGUGGGGAGCAAACAGGAUUAGAUACCCCAGUAGUC